GAUGAACGCUGGCGGCGUGCCUAAUACAUGCAAGUCGAGCGAACAGACGAGGAUCUUGCUCCUCUGACGUUAGCGGCGGACGGGUGAGUAACACGUGGAUAACCUACCUAUAAGACUGGGAUAACUUCGGGAAACCGGAGCUAAUACCGGAUAAUAUAUUGAACCGCAUGGUUCAAUAGUGAAAGACGGUUUUGCUGUCACUUAUAGAUGGAUCCGCGCCGCAUUAGCUAGUUGGUAAGGUAACGGCUUACCAAGGCAACGAUGCGUAGCCGACCUGAGAGGGUGAUCGGCCACACUGGAACUGAGACACGGUCCAGACUCCUACGGGAGGCAGCAGUAGGGAAUCUUCCGCAAAGGGCGAAAGCCUGACGGAGCAACGCCGCGUGAGUGAUGAAGGUCUUCGGAUCGUAAAACUCUGUUAUUAGGGAAGAACAAAUGUGUAAGUAACUAUGCACGUCUUGACGGUACCUAAUCAGAAAGCCACGGCUAACUACGUG
Molecule: ribosomal RNA, 497 nt
Filed under: uncultured bacterium
Lineage: Bacteria
Description: partial 16S ribosomal RNA
Rfam family: Bacterial small subunit ribosomal RNA
Source: RNAcentral